This is a long non-coding RNA of Ornithodoros turicata, 183 nucleotides long. RefSeq lists it as uncharacterized. NCBI's taxonomy places the organism in Eukaryota, Metazoa, Arthropoda, Arachnida, Ixodida, Argasidae. The record is from RefSeq and is a predicted model, not a curated record. The transcript has 2 exons.
GAUCUGCUCAUUCAGCCCAGCGCCGUUCUGCAGCGGCAUUGGGACAGGAGCAGCGAUCGCCUGACGUCAUCCAGCAUAUCUGCAUGGUUCACGGAAUAUGUCCGGAAAAGAGAGAGAUACAGUCAUUGAGGAAGAUGAAGAUUCGAAAGACAAAGGAAAUAAAUUAAAAACUGUUGCAGAAUA